RNAcentral lists this small RNA (652 nucleotides) under Drosophila ananassae. RNAcentral describes it as "GF27593". The record is from RNAcentral. Lineage: Eukaryota; Metazoa; Arthropoda; Insecta; Diptera; Drosophilidae.
GGAGAGCCUCAGUAUACAACCAGCCCGUUUGGAAGCAGCACCUAAAUUUCGGUUAACAAAAAAGCAGAUCAAAAUUUUCUGUAAAAAUUAAUAACUUUUGGCGAAUCCAAAUUUUAGAAAGAAGGACAAAAAGUAUAAAAAAAACAUGGAUUUCUCAGCUAAUCAAUUUCCCAUUUGGUUGGAAAUCAAAGAUGUGGACACCCGUUCAGAGACCGCCCAGCAGUCUUCGGCAGCUUCAGGUUCCCGUAGUCGAAAUGCAAAUAGUUUAAAAAUAGAGCACCGCCAGAAUUUCUACCAUCUACGCUGAAAAAAAACUUUGUGUAUUCCUCGACGAAUCUUCCCCGUGAAGCCGCUCAGUGUGUUCCCCCCACUUCCGAAAUUGUCAAUCAAAAGAAAUUUGAAAGCGAAUAUGUGUAAUUCAGAGACGUGAAGCGCCAGAUUUCUCAACUUCCUAACGCAGAUGAUACUGGAUCUAGGAUCUUCGAGGACUGCAGCAGAGGAAUCGUUAAUUUGGCCCUUGAAAUGUUCCAGUCUUUAAUGUCCUUGUUGUCUUUCUUUGUGUUCUGUGGUGUAUACGAAAUGACGAAUGAAAACUAGUACAUAGGAGUAUGAAGGCGUGUAGUCAACUGUAUUUUUAAAUAAAUGUCAAAAA